AAAAAAGCAAAAGAAGCGAGGCCAUCGGUUUUAGAUUUGCUGUGCUCUCUCCAAGAUACAUAAGAUGAGAAAGGAGGGGAAAGUAGGAGUGGUGGAGGGGAAAUGAGGAAGAAAAACAUCUUAGCGGUCACAACCUGGAUGAUGGCUGCCAGCACAGAUGGCUCUUGAAGCUCUGGGAAGAGGCUGAGCUUCACAGAACUGCUUCUUGGUGGGAACCUGCAGAAAUGGAUGGCAUGCCCAUAAGCCCCAUGGGCACACAGAUAGAGAACACCAUCAGGUUGCACAGAGAGCAUAACCUUUACAGCAAAGAGCUUUCAAAGGAUUUCCAUCCACUGCUACUAAUGCUAUUUCACAACUUUUGGAAGAGAAGAAAUUGCAUCAUAUGGGAUCUGGAAAAAGCUAAUUCCAGCUGAAAUGCAUUUGGCACAACAUUGAAUGACUUAGCUGGAGCUCCUCAGUGACAAAAACCAUGAUACAGGAAAGAGAGACGAGAUUACAGUUCCUUCCUCUGCCUUUUCACAAGAGUCUUUCAAGCAUGUAUGUCUGAUCUGAAGCAUGCUUGAUGACGCUGUCCUCUCAUACUUCACACUUUGCAUCCCACAGUGUCACCUCUCAUUCUUCUGAGUACCCAACUACCUUCUAAUCCUGCUUUCAGCAAUCCCAUCUGCAUAAGAACAUGAAAAUAGUCUUUUUGCACAAAUUUAUGAGAGAAAUACCAUAAUCUGACUUUAUGAAAGUGGGUGUUAAAUUGUCUUGUGAUAGUUAUGCAUUUUUUUUUGCUUACGUUGUUUCCAGAAGAGGGAAUGGAGAGAUGAAGAACGUGUCCAGGAAUAAAGACAGAAGUGGGAAAAGUUUUUAAGGACAUUCUCCUAUAUUUCUGCCGCAGUAUUGCACUUUCACACCAGCAAAUAUGAUUCAUCCACUUUAUGUAUUUGUGACUAGAUGUGAAAUUAUCCCUCCUUCUUUUUCUUGUAAUGUUUUUCUUCAUUUCAAUAUCAGAACAACGUAUCAUCACACCUUUUUGUUUGUUUGUUUGUUUGUUUGCUUUUUUCCCUGUACAUGUACACCAUAAGCAUUUUCAAUAGCGCAGGUAUCUUUACAAGAUUUUGUUUCACAAAGAGAUUGUAUACUUAAUUAAAGAGAAAACAACAGACUUGCAUACAGCAACACAUCCACACACAUCCACUCACAAAACAAUAAAUGAGAGUAAGUCUUCUGUGACAGCACUAUUUUCCACUGUCUAGAUGAUUAGAGAGUCCAGUGCUUUUUAUCAAAGACAACCUCUUUCUCUCCUUUCGAGCUUUAAAUAAAUACUUGUGCUAAUUGCAGAUACUAGCAAAAUGCAGCACCAAAACUGGCAUGGAUGUGAAAGGGAAUAAACAAGCUAUGGUAGAUUAAACAUUGUUUUUCUGUCACUGUCAGAAUGUAUAAUAAAGAGUCCCAUGU
Long non-coding RNA from Gallus gallus (chicken), 1446 nucleotides. NCBI's taxonomy places the organism in Eukaryota, Metazoa, Chordata, Aves, Galliformes, Phasianidae. The record is from Ensembl.